Molecule: ribosomal RNA, 466 nt
Filed under: uncultured bacterium
Lineage: Bacteria
Description: bacterial SSU rRNA
Rfam family: Bacterial small subunit ribosomal RNA
Source: RNAcentral
UAGGGAAUAUUGGACAAUGGGUGAGAGCCUGAUCCAGCCAUGCCGCGUGCAGGAAGAAGGCGUUAUGCGUUGUAAACUGCUUUUGCCAGGGGAUAAAAAGACCGUGCGCGGUUAAUUGAAGGUACCUGGUGAAUAAGCCACGGCUAACUACGUGCCAGCAGCCGCGGUAAUACGUAGGUGGCAAGCGUUGUCCGGAUUUAUUGGGUUUAAAGGGUGCGUAGGUGGCCCUGUAAGUCAGUGGUGAAAUAUCUCAGCUUAACUGAGAGGGUGCCAUUGAUACUGCAGGGCUUGAGUACAGAUGAGGUAGGCGGAAUUGACGGUGUAGCGGUGAAAUGCAUAGAUAUCGUCAAGAACACCGAUAGCGAAGGCAGCUUACCAAGCUGUAACUGACACUGAGGCACGAAAGUGUGGGGAUCAAACAGGAUUAGAUACCCAGGUAGUCCCUGAGCGGGCUGGCAAGGCGCAU